UCGGACCUACGGGGCGCAGCAGUGGGGAAUAUUGCGCAAUGGGCGAAAGCCUGACGCAGCGACGCCGCGUGAGGGAUGAAGGUCUUCGGAUCGUAAACCUCUGUCAGCAGGGAAGAACGGUCACUGUGCUAAUCAGCAGUGAAUUGACGGUACCUGCAAAGGAAGCACCGGCUAACUCCGUGCCAGCAGCCGCGGUAAUACGGAGGGUGCGAGCGUUAUCCGGAUUUAUUGGGUUUAAAGGGUGCGCAGGCGGCGUGUCAAGUCAGCGGUAAAAUGUCGGGGCUCAACCCCGGCCGGCCGUCGGA
Molecule: ribosomal RNA, 305 nt
Filed under: uncultured bacterium
Lineage: Bacteria
Description: bacterial SSU rRNA
Rfam family: Bacterial small subunit ribosomal RNA
Source: RNAcentral